Molecule: ribosomal RNA, 465 nt
Filed under: Vreelandella stevensii
Lineage: Bacteria; Pseudomonadati; Pseudomonadota; Gammaproteobacteria; Oceanospirillales; Halomonadaceae
Description: partial 16S ribosomal RNA
Rfam family: Bacterial small subunit ribosomal RNA
Source: RNAcentral
CCUACGGGUGGCUGCAGUGGGGAAUAUUGGACAAUGGGCGAAAGCCUGAUCCAGCCAUGUCGCGUGUGUGAAGAAGGCCUUCGGGUUGUAAAGCACUUUCAGUGGGGAAGAAAGCCUUGGGGCUAAUACCCUCGAGGAAGGACAUCACCCACAGAAGAAGCACCGGCUAACUCCGUGCCAGCAGCCGCGGUAAUACGGAGGGUGCGAGCGUUAAUCGGAAUUACUGGGCGUAAAGCGCGCGUAGGCGGUCUGAUAAGCCGGUUGUGAAAGCCCCGGGCUCAACCUGGGAACGGCAUCCGGAACUGUCAGGCUAGAGUGCAGGAGAGGAAGGUAGAAUUCCCGGUGUAGCGGUGAAAUGCGUAGAGAUCGGGAGGAAUACCAGUGGCGAAGGCGGCCUUCUGGACUGACACUGACGCUGAGGUGCGAAAGCGUGGGUAGCAAACAGGAUUAGAUACCCCAGUAGUC